AAAAGGGGCUUCUGCCGUGAACGGCACAUGGAGGGCAGUUUGCUUGCUCUAUGUGUGGAAUGGACAUCAAGAGAUUUCAGAAGCAGAAUUUUUUUGGCAGUAGGGCAGCUAGUGAUUGUUGGGUUUAGUGCUCCC
This is a small nuclear RNA of Sorex fumeus (smoky shrew), 135 nucleotides long. RefSeq annotates it as U11 spliceosomal RNA. The record is from RefSeq and is a predicted model, not a curated record. The transcript has a single exon. Lineage: Eukaryota; Metazoa; Chordata; Mammalia; Eulipotyphla; Soricidae.